Molecule: transfer RNA, 75 nt
Filed under: Alphaproteobacteria bacterium
Lineage: Bacteria; Pseudomonadati; Pseudomonadota; Alphaproteobacteria
Also listed under: 2 other names
Description: tRNA-Gln
Rfam family: tRNA
About the family: Transfer RNA (tRNA) molecules are approximately 80 nucleotides in length. Their secondary structure includes four short double-helical elements and three loops (D, anti-codon, and T loops).
Source: RNAcentral
UGGGGCGUCGCCAAGCGGUAAGGCACCGGAUUUUGAUUCCGGCAUACGGAGGUUCGAAUCCUCCCGCCCCAGCCA